CAGUCGCCGCGGGAAUACGAAGGGGGCUAGCGUUGUCCGGAAUUAUUGGGCGUAAAGGGCUCGCAGGCGGUUUCUUAAGUCUGAUGUGAAAGCCCCCGGCUCAACCGGGGAGGGUCAUUGGAAACUGGGAAACUUGAGUGCAGAAGAGGAGAGUGGAAUUCCACGUGUAGCGGUGAAAUGCGUAGAGAUGUGGAGGAACACCAGUGGCGAAGGCGACUCUCUGGUCUGUAACUGACGCUGAGGAGCGAAAGCGUGGGGAGUGAACAGGAUUAGAUACCCCAGUAGUCCCUGUCUCUUAUAC
RNAcentral lists this ribosomal RNA (301 nucleotides) under uncultured bacterium. RNAcentral's name for it is "partial 16S ribosomal RNA". It matches the Rfam family "Bacterial small subunit ribosomal RNA", at positions 509 to 807 of the family's 1533-position model. The record is from RNAcentral.